GCUGCCCGUCCGGGGCGGCGAGGGCACUUUUCCCGGCUUUUUGCGGUGAAGCUGGGGGGUGUCGGGCAGAAGCGGCGGCGUCUCCCCAGAGAAGGGAGUCACUGCGGCCGGGUCGCUGAGGACUAAGGGAGGCGGCCUGCGGCAGUGGGCAGUUCACCGGGUUGGCGGUGCGGGUGUCUCUGAGCCCGGUGGGGAGAGAAAUCCCACGCCUGCAAGGCACGGCAGGCUGACCUUUUUCUGUGACUUUACUGACGCUGGGUAGCAAAAACUGGUUGCAGGCUUCUAUAUCCUUUGGGAUGUGUAAUUGAGCAUGCUGCUUCAACACAGAAGAUGAACUUUAAGGCCUUUUCAGACACAGAACACUCAACCCAACUGCUGCAGUUGAGAGAGAUCUGUGCCACCAUGGCUAGAAGAGGGAUUUAACCCUUGCAGAAAGAAGAAGCGAGUGUUAGCACAGGAAGUGGCAGUUGUCCUACAUUGGGUCCUCCCAGGUAACUUCAAAGCAUUGCCAAUGGAUGAACUGGUGCAUGACUUGGCCUCAGCUUUAGAGCAGACUUCGGAGCAGAACAAGCUGGAUGAGCUAUGGGAAGAGAUGGCCCUAAGCCCACGGCAGCAGCGGCGUCAGCUUCGCAAGAGACGGGGUCGCAAACGACGCUCAGACUUCACGCAUCAGGCGGAACAUGCCUGCUGCUACAGCGAGGCCUCAGAGUCGAGCUUGGAUGAGGCUGUCAAGGAUUGCCGUGAGGUGCUGACAGCUAAUUUCAGUGACUCUGAUGACAUGGCAGUGGUAAAGCGACAUCCAGCUCUUAGUGCCACCCUGAGGAGCAAGCAACACUUGUGGCAUGAGUCAGACUCCUUUACAGAGAAUGCGCCCUGUCGGCCUCUCAGGCGCCGACGGAAGGUCAAACGUGUGACAUCAGAGGUGGCUGCCAGUCUCCAGCAAAAGCUCAGGGUGUCAGAGUGGAACUGUGAGAGGGGCUGCAGGUUCAAGUCAGCCAAGAAACAGCGUCUUUCACGCUGGAAGGAGAAUGCCCCUUGGACAUCAUCCAGUCAUGGCCUUUGCGAGUCAGGAGAAAACAGGCCCUUCCUCAGCAACGGGGGAAGGAAGGAGCGGAUGGAGUGUGAAGCUGAUGAUCAGAAACAGGGCUCAGAUGAAAACAUGUCAGAAUGUGAAACCAGCAGUGUUUGCAGCAGCAGUGAUACUGGCCUGUUUACCAAUGAUGAAGGCCGCCAAGGAGAUGAUGAGCAAAGUGAUUGGUUUUAUGAAGGAGAAUGUGUUCCAGGAUUCACUGUCCCCAACAUUCUUCCCAAGUGGGGAGCUGAUCACCGAUCUGAAGUGGAGAGGAUUGACUCAGGCCUGGACAAGCUCUCUGUUUCUACCUUCCUUUUGCCCUCACGGCCGGCUCAGAGAGGAUUUCAUGCUCGCCUGAAUCGCCUUCCAGGAGCUGCUGCCCGCUGCCUCCGUAAAGGUCGGAGGAGGCUGGUUGGUAAGGAGACCUCCAUGAGCACUCUGAGCACCGAGAGGCUGGGUCAUAUUGUUAGUGAUCCUCGCCAGAAAGAUUUUUGGUUACCAUCCAUGGGGAAGAGAGAUCGCAACCAGUUCAAUCCGUUAUCUCCUCUGUACUCUCUGGAUGUGCUUGCUGAUGCUUCCCACCGAAGAUGCUCACCAGCACACUGCACUGCCAGGCAAGCAAAUGUCCACCUGGGACCACCAUGUUCAAGGGACGUCAAGAGGAAACGAAAGCCAGCUGCAGCCUCCAUGUCUAGCCCAACAUCAGCAACAUUAUCUGUUCACAUGGAUGCAGCAGAAUCAGAGCAACCAGCAACACCAUCCUUGAGAUCCCAGAACUCUGAGUGGACUGGGAAAACACCAGCAGCUGAGAAAUCUACUAUUGCUGCCUCCAGUAACCUUUUUAAAAUGCCACCAGAGAAGAGCCCUGGAUACAGCUAAAAGGAAGCAUUGAGACUGUAAAAACUUGCUCGAUUUUGAAAGUGUUUGACUCUGGUGUUGGUCUGCACCAAGCAUCUUGUUUGGCAGUAGUGGUAUCUUCAGUAUUGGUGCAUAAUGUGUGCCAUCAUCCAGGCUGGUCUGUGUGCCUCACACACCUAAGUCAUGUUUGUGAACCUAUGUUUAAGAAAAGAUGGGCAUAAAGAUGAACAUGGAGCUAAAGCCUAGGUUGCCUAGACUGGUGCAUGUGAGUUUUCAUUGCUGGAGGCAUUUCUAAGAGGGCCAUGAUCUGAGACUGGUCUGGCCUGACCAGGGUAUUGCAGAAGUCCUUGAGUUUUCCGUCAAGUUUUGACAACACCAGACAGUGAGCCAAAGCUACUAUCAGUUGCAUUUUAGCUUCCUCCUGCAGUCACAGAGGGCUCUCCUAAAGAUAGCUCACAAACAGGUCUACUCAGAGUCUAUGAAGAGCUGCCUUGUGCAUGUCCCAAAUAUCUUAUGAGGUCAUAAGAUUUAGCUGUUUGAUAGGACUCUGGGUUCUUGGGACUCUAUUUUAAGGUUAACAUGUAAAUAAGAAAGAUUCCUGCUUGUAUUCCACUGUUUUAAAUAAGAUGUGUAUUCUCUGAAUGAGGCUCUUGCAGAAUCUCUGUUCUGAUUAUAGAAACUGGAAAUAAAUCAAUGUAUGAAAGAAGUGUUUUAUCUGAUAUAAAGUGAGAGUGGGGGAAGAGGGGUUUUGCUGACAUCUGACUAGAUUUACAGUAUUGGGCUCUCCAUUAAUCUGCAUGCUUCCUUGACCGUUUCUGUAAGUAUAAAGUAUAAACUGUGAUCUGAAGGUCUGUAGGGAGUUACUGUGCUUUUCUUGCUUUGAAUUGCAAACUUGAGUGAAGGAUUUGAGGUAAUUUAUCAUGUCCGUUCUUUGGAGGUUUUUUGUAAUGGUUUUGUUUCCCAGUUUGUCAGGACACUGUCUCUAGACAAGUGAGAUGCACCCUGUUUGGAAUUUGAAACAAUUCCAGAAUUUCUUAAAUAGCCUUUCAUUUCUAAGGCACUGCUUCAGAUCUGCCCAGUCUCAAAUGGGAUGUCAUUUAAAUGACAGGUCAGUUUCAAUUGAUAGUUUAAUGAAUAUCAAUUCAUUUUGCCACCAUUAACAUCCUUUUAAGAUAGAUUGGCAUCUUCCUGUUUUUCCAUGAUAGCAGUUACUUCAAAGAUCAAAUGAGCAGAGGAUUUUGAAUUUUCUUUUGCCUGUGCUUGUGUCCCAGUAUUAAUAGCUAUGCAUAUUUUUGGUAGGAACAACACAGGAAUCCCUUUACCUUAACUGUUCUAAUGAAUAAACUGUAAAAAAUUAGAUCCUAAGUGGACUGAAUGUUUUUAAACAAAAAUAUCAAGAUCCUUUGGAAAUGGCUUCAAGUUUUUAACACCAUAGUGGGAGUAGAGGGUUGUCCAAUUUUUAAAGGUGAUUACUUUCCUCUCUCAUCUACAAGCUGCACCUGUGAGGAUUGGGAAUUGUUCCUGGUGAAAUAUGUUGAUUUUUUUUUUCUUUAGAUAUAAGGAGCUGGAACAAGGAGCAAUAGAUUGUCAUAUGGGAAGGGCUCAGAUUUGCCAUACUAUUGGUAAUGUCAAAAAUUUCAGAUGUCUAAAAAUUAGCUGUUUCAGUCUUACACUUACUUGCAAUUUUGUAAUUUUUAAAUUUUGAGUAAUGAAGCAUUUAAUGUGAUAAUUGGAUUAAUUUCUAUUUAAAAAGGAAAAGUUGGAUGGUGCUUUUUACAUGUCCUUAAUUUUACAUCCCAGGGCUGAGAAUUUUCUCAGUUCAGUUUGAAUAACUCACGGUAAGUUUGAUAACAGGGCUGACUAUGAUGGCAUUGAUCAAUUUUGAUAUUUUUCAAACCAUGAAACCUUGCUUCAGGCUUUUCCAGCUCAUAAUAAUUGCCUGAAACCACAGAUGAAUGCAAGCUGACUUGCUAUGUAUUAAUGGAGAACUUUUCACAUAUAAAUAAAAGGGUAUUUCAAAUCUGGGGUACAAAUUUUGUUCUCUACUGUCAUAGAGCAAUUUCCCAGUAAGAGCAGAUACUUACUUUUUAAAAUGAAAUAUCGUAUAGGGUUUCAAAGUGGUAAACUGCAUACAUUUAAUUCAUUUUUAGGAAGGGAGUGACAGGGAGGUGUCUGAAUAGGAGAAUGUGAGCAGAUCUCAGGAGCUGCUGCAAUAGGGCAGAUGUAGCACACAGAGUUUUCAAAACACACUUUAAAAAAUGUACCUGGAGAUUGGAGAACUGUACCUAAAGAUUGGAGAAAUCUUCCUCUGAGAAGUGUCGUAGCUCACAGACUGCCUGCAGGUGCUGUGAUGGCAGACCAGUGGUUCUGAUUAACUAAUGUCAGCACUGACAUUGAUGUUUUUCUAGUAAUUUUGACACCAGCUUCCUGAGAGGUUCACCAGUGUUGUCUUAGGGCUCUUCUUCACCCUGCUUCACAAAAUAAUUUGCAAGUGCUUGGACUCACCUAGCCCUCCUCCAUGGGGAAACAUGUUCCCAUUUUGAGUCAGGCACUCCUACUGCUGAAUGUUGUAUGGUGAGUGAAGGAAAUCCUGUGUUUUCUUCCUUGGCCAUCCAAGGAACAGCAAGGGGAGCUUUCGUGCAUCUUUUAUCCCUUGCUGGUCCUUUCAGAUGUGGAGACAGGAAGGAGGGAAUAAGACAUGCAGGGUUUGAUUCCUGGCUGAGGAGAGAGGGCCAUGAGAUGUGGCUGUUGUCCUGCACUCAGACAAUGCUGGGGCUGCCUGGGGAAGGUGACGUUUCACCCUCCCCACGCUGAUAGACUGCAUGACUCUAAACCAUGGGCUUCAUCUGCUUACAUACGUAUUUAGGCAUUUAAACAAGAAUCUUCUUCAGUGCCCCCACCCAUCCCUCAAGUAACAAAUAAACCAGAAAAUUUGUGCUCUGAUGAAACAAAGCUGCAAUUUGAGUGGCCCGUGUUGCUGUAAUCAGUGCCCUUCUGCAUGCACAGUGCAAUGCAAUCAGGCACUUGCAUGAAUUGUUGUUAGGUUUGAGUUUGUGUGUCUCUGUCCAUGUGCCCCCUUUCACACGAGGUUCCUGCCUUAGUGUAGGACAGGUGAGACUCCCUGAAUGUACAGCUGCUGUACAUUCUGAUUUUUUUCUCCCCCUGUACAUUCUGAUUUUUUUCUCCCCCUUAUUUAGGCUGACUUCAAGCUUUAUUUACUGCACAGCAUCCAGUCUCCACUCUGAAGAGGAAAGAAGUAAUUUCCUUGUUAGUAUCAUCAGGGUACCUCCUGCUAUGACAGCUCAGAAUAUUAAUGAAUUUGUGUACUGAGCACUUGAAUGUUAUUGUCACCUUAUUGCAUAAGUGAGGAGUUUGAGACUGAAGCAAAACCCAGGAGAUAUCUCUGAAUUUGAGGGGCCUAAGAUGAGAUACAUAGACACUGGCAAUUUGCAGGGGCUGAUUUUGUACCCUUUUGUAGGUCCACAUUACAUUUCCUACAGACUUCCUUAGCCGCUAUAAGUGCUCAGAGCUUCUGCACAUCCAGCCACAAUUACUAAUGAGGUGAGGAGCACUGUCCUUGUUGCUUUCCAUGGCUUCUCAGCUAAGAGAGAGAUGGCAGCAGGCAGGCAUCUCCAGGGCUGAUGGUCAGUUGCUUUCAUCACAAGAACCUGGACAGCCUCCUGCUUUGUCCUUUCUGCAUUGGGUAUGACUCAUUUGUGCUCAUCUCCUCCAGUUCUUGCCCUUCACCUCUCUGGAGGCAUGCCUUAUAUGCUCUGUAUAAAGUUAGAGUCUCAAAAAUAAACUGUGUAAUCAUUUGAUUUAGCAUUAUUGUAAAGUGUAUGGACCAAGGGACAACUUAUGAUGGUAGAAAAGCCAUUUCUUCCCUUUUGAGUCUUUUUAUCUGUAACCAGAUAUAUUGUAUAUCUGUGUGUGUAUAUAUAUAUAUUAUUAAUUUUUGGGCUAGGACUUCUUGGUAUGUAUUCACUUGUACUGGAGUUUCCUUAUAAAGGUAUUUUAAUUUCCCCAAGUAUGUUUUGUCUCUGGAAAUACUAUAAUUCCUGGGCUUCAAAGGAUUUGAAAGAACAGCCCCAAAUGCAUAGUAUCAUAGAGAAUCUGCUGUGAAAUAACUUGUCUACUACAUCUCAAGAAACAGCACUAGGUAGGUGAAAACUUGCUAUGGAGUAAUCACACUUUAUAUACUUUUACAUGAAUUUUGACUCUUGUCUUGCACUGAUUUUUCGAGUAUUGUCCUCUUGAUUCUUUUCUCUAAACUACAAAGUAAUGAUUGUCUAGUGAAGCAAACCCUGCAUUUGUUGUUUAACAAAUGGUAAGCUGCCUUCUAAUGCCCAAUGCAGCAGUUUUAAAAUAUCAGAAGUCUUAGUGUGUAUUUUGGGAAGAAUGCCCUUGGAACCAGAAUCAAUCAUCUGACUGAGCUGGAUUGGAAAAAAGAAGGGUACAAAGAGAGAAUAGUACUAACUAUUGUUUUUAUUAUCCUAAGUCUUGUUCUGUUCUCUUCAUGAGCUCUUGGUUUACAUCUUCUAGAGAAAUUAGUGCAUCUUUAAAAACAAAAAGACAAACACGAACAACCUCCCUCUUCAAGCUUUUUUAUAUUUGUUUGUUAGAUGUGGGUUGUCAGGCUCUGUUUGCAGCUGAUUGCCCAUUUUCUCAUGUAAACAGAUUCCAUUAACCUGAAAGAUGCAAAUCAGAAUAUUUGAAUUUCCAUUAAUACCAUUUUGGAACUGGACAGAUAGCUGCAAUUGUGUUUUUCUUAUCCUUGCAGUAAAGUACUGCAGUCCACUUCAUUCCUUGCUCACACAUUGCACCUCACACCUGUGCUAAGUGGGCAUUUUCUGAGCAAAGUGCAUUGUUUGCUCAACAAAGCAUAAAAGAUGACACAUGGUAUGUUGCUGGACACCUUAUCUUCUCUCUGCUAAUCGCUGUGGGUAAAGUGAUGAUGGUGCACUACCAUAUGACUCAGAAACAACUUUGCUGAAAACCACAAAUUUAUUUCAGGUAAGUUACAUCCCAGGUGUAUGUAUAUUUAAAUGUAACUGUGUAUUUGUUCCUGGGAAGAACCCAGAUACUUGUCACAAAUAACUGGCAACUGGAAGCGUCAGGACUGAUCUAUUUAGAAUAUGUCUACUCUCUCAUUCUGCGAGUACCUCAAGUGUUUAGGAUAUGGAUGAGUACAACUUCUACUGCUUGUCACUGAACUACUGCUGGUAAUUGAAAAUUGGAAUACAGUGUUCCCUGGAGAGUUUGUCAUGGAGCUCAAGAGGUUAAUAUGUAGUUAUGUGAUGAUACUAUAAUUUUAUAUGCAUCUGCAGAUACUGCUAAUAGACAUUAAAGUGGGCAUUUACAUCCUUAUUAUGGGUCAGUACUUGAUGUCAUAAUAAAAAAGUCACAUCAGAAAAGUACAGGAUAAAAAUCUGAUUAUGCACAUUUUGGAAUGUAAAUGGCUUUAAAAUUCAAAUUGUCACCUGGUGGGAGGAUCAGGAAGGAGUCAGAACAAGGGCAAAGGGGCAAAGCUGUGAGACACAAGGGGCAAGAUAAAGGAGGAAGAAGAGACAGGCAGGACUAGGCCUUUGCUUGAGUAGUUUAUAUCCAUAUGAAUACUAUACCCCAUUACU
RNA transcript from Hirundo rustica (Barn swallow), 7560 nucleotides. It is a transcript of the gene named G-patch domain containing 2 like, with no coding region annotated. The record is from RefSeq and is a predicted model, not a curated record. Lineage: Eukaryota; Metazoa; Chordata; Aves; Passeriformes; Hirundinidae. The transcript has 12 exons.